GAUCCUGGCUCAGGACGAACGCUGGCGGCGCGCCUAACACAUGCAAGUCGAACGAGAGAUGAAGAGCUUGCUCUUCAAAUCGAGUGGCGAACGGGUGAGUAACGCGUGAGGAACCUGCCUCAAAGAAGGGGACAACAGUUGGAAACGACUGCUAAUACCGCAUAAGCCCACGGCUCGGCAUCGAGCAGAGGGAAAAGGAGCAAUCCGCUUUGAGAUGGCCUCGCGUCCGAUUAG
RNAcentral lists this ribosomal RNA (234 nucleotides) under uncultured bacterium. RNAcentral's name for it is "partial 16S ribosomal RNA". It matches the Rfam family "Bacterial small subunit ribosomal RNA", at positions 15 to 244 of the family's 1533-position model. The record is from RNAcentral.